This 255-nucleotide ribosomal RNA is filed under the name uncultured bacterium. RNAcentral describes it as "partial 16S ribosomal RNA". It matches the Rfam family "Bacterial small subunit ribosomal RNA", at positions 524 to 776 of the family's 1533-position model. The record is from RNAcentral.
UACGAAGGGGGCUAGCGUUGUUCGGAUUUACUGGGCGUAAAGCGCACGUAGGCGGAUCGUUAAGUCGGGGGUGAAAUCCUGGAGCUCAACUCCAGAACUGCCUUCGAUACUGGCGAUCUUGAGUCCGGAAGAGGUGAGUGGAACUCCUAGUGUAGAGGGUGGAAUUCGUAGAUAUUAGGAAGAACACCAGUGGCGAAGGCGGCUCACUGGUCCGGUACUCGACGCUGAGGUGCGAAAGCGUGGGGAGCCAAACAG